UUAAAAGUGUGUGUGGGCAACAUUUUAUAGCUUGUGGCAGCUUCUGCAUCUUUUUUUUUUAAGGUUACAUUUCCAUAAUCAGGUUGCCAAGGAAGCAUCACUGUAUGUAUUCUAAGCACAUAUUUGCUUCUUUUUUUAAUAUCAAGAUGUUUCGGUUAAAUAUCUACAUCAAGUUCGUCUAGACAGCCAUAUCUCCAAGGCAAGCUGUGUUUUCUAGCAGACAGACAACAUCCUGGAGGGCAUUCUACCACAGUUACAGUAGAGAUUUGGGAUAAGAAAAUAAUACAAACAGUGAAGAUUGCUUAUGUCAUUAAUAUAGCAACAACAUUCUUUGAAAAAUACUCAGCCUUGGUUUGCUUAUCAUAAAUGAAGGACAUGAGAAAAUGAACAAUACUCUCUCAAAAUAACCUAUAAAAGCAAAAUGUGAAAGAAUGCUCAGUAAAAUGUCUAUUAGGUCUUCUGUCCACAACAAAUUUGUCAUCGAAGUCUCCUCUCCACCCAGAUGACUUCACUAAGAAAUCCAUUCCCAUUCUCCACCCUCUAUCCUCCAAAUGAAAAUACUGUUUCUGCUGCAGCUAAGAAAGCUUCUCCUGUGACAAGCUCCUGUCCAAUCCAUGAGCUUUAAUAGCAAAAAGGAAAAGAGAGCUUUAGUGUUGGAAUGGUUGUCCACUGCAACUGCCCUAGCCAACAGUAGAGAUUGAAG
Hemicordylus capensis (graceful crag lizard) is the source of this 703-nucleotide long non-coding RNA. RefSeq lists it as uncharacterized. The record is from RefSeq and is a predicted model, not a curated record. Lineage: Eukaryota; Metazoa; Chordata; Lepidosauria; Squamata; Cordylidae. The transcript has 3 exons.